RNAcentral lists this unclassified non-coding RNA (239 nucleotides) under Hevea brasiliensis (rubber tree). Lineage: Eukaryota; Viridiplantae; Streptophyta; Magnoliopsida; Malpighiales; Euphorbiaceae. The record is from RNAcentral.
ACAUUGGCCCUGAUUAAAGAAGAGUGCAAAAUGUGCUAGCUCAACAGCAUGAUCAAUGUCAGCAUCCUCACAUAUAAUGAAAGGUGAUUUCCCUCCUAGUUCAAGGGUAACUGGUUUCAGAUUGCUUUUGGCAGCCAGUUGAAGAACUGUUUGUCCAGUUUCCGUUGAUCCAGUGAAAGCAAGCUUGUCUACAUCCAUAUGACUAGCCAGUGCAGCACCAGCGGUAGGUCCAAAACCAG